GAAUCCUGGAAAGAAGGCUUCUGUAUGACCAUGUUAAGGAAAAAGUCUACAGAAUAAAGGGGAGGCUUUACAUGAAAGAGAAGAAAACUCUGACUCCCACCUUCCCAGGCAAGAGGAGCUGCAUGAGAUAGUGAGCCAGAGACAAGAACUGAAGAAUGAGGCCCAGUCAACCUGUUGAUCUAAGAAGAUGACACAUGUGAUACAUACAGAGACAACCAACGCAACCAUUAGCAAGGAGAAGCCGAGUGCCUCCAACUGAGUCCACCCUUCAUCAGGAAAGCAAUAUCACCAGGAAGACCCAGCAUCCACAGAGAAGAAACAAAUGUGGAUCAGAGCAGCUGCAUGACGGAAUCCAUGCCAUCCAUUGUCCCCUGGGCUGCUCAGAGACAGUGAUGCGGAGUUCCAAGAUGCCUCUGCAAUAGGCAAGCAGCUGGGCUGGAGCACAAAGCCAGUGAUUUAAGGAUUACUUUGUGUGUUGCCGGUCGACCUGGAUUACACUGAAAGAGGAAGCAGCAGCG
This 518-nucleotide long non-coding RNA is filed under the name Heterocephalus glaber (naked mole-rat). Its description in RNAcentral is "lncRNA (ENSHGLG00100037875.1)". Lineage: Eukaryota; Metazoa; Chordata; Mammalia; Rodentia; Bathyergidae. The record is from RNAcentral.